CUCUGGGCGGCGGGAGGAGCCAAAGGGUGAAAGGGACCAGUGGUUGAGCUGGUCCCUUUCACCCUUUCACCGCCGGCGUGACAGGAGGGAAGAUACCCCUGAAUGCGGUGCUGGGAGCCGGGAGCCAGGUCCUCCUCAGGAAGAUGUGCCCAGCAGCCAAUAGACAUCUGAAUGAGGCCGUGCAACACUCUCCUGGGGAGAUGAGCUCAUCAGAUUACCAGGCUGUGAUGGGCUGCUACAGAGAGAUGAGCUUUUAAUCUCAGCGGCAUGUGCCUGGCUCAGAGUGGAGGAAGAAGCCUGGGAAGGGAAGAGAAUCUCCUUGCUGGGGGCACCCUUUGCAAAACAAGGCUCUUGUAAAGUAAACACCCCUUGAUAUUUCCCCCCACCUCCCCAUGCCCUGCCACCUCCCCAGGAAAAAAUCAUAUAACAUCUCUUCCUCCAUGGUUAGUGACAAAACAACGUCCAUUGGCACAGUGCUCACACCUGUAAUCCCAGCACUCUGGGAGGCCCAGCUGGGUAGAUUGCUUGACCUUAGGAGUUUGAGACCAAUCUGGGCCAGAGCGAGACCCCAUCUCUAAAAAUAGCCGGGCAUUGUGGUGGGUGCAAAAGACUUGGGAGACUGAGGCAAGAAAAUCACUUGAACUCAAGAGUUUGAGGUUGCUGUGAGCUAUGAAACCACAGCAGUCAACCCCAGGGCAACAGAAUGAGACUCUGUCUCUCACACACACACACACACAAAAGGUCCAUCUUUUAUUCUACUCAUUCAUUCAUCCCUCCCAUGAAAGUCUAAAAUCUGUCAUAACCAUGGCUAGAAAAUAAUGGUGUAAGUAUGAUCCUCUGUCUAACACUGGAUCUAACCCUGGUUGUUGUGAGCUAUGACGUCAUAGCACUCUACCCAGGGUGACAGCUUGAGACUCUGUCCCAAAAUAAAUAAAUAAAUGAAGUGCACACAAGUUUUUAGUAUAUUUACUGUAUUAUGCAACUAACACUUCUCAUUCCAAAACAUUUUUAUCACCACAAAAAGAAACCUGAGACCUGUAAGUCCCAACUUUCCCCUUCCCUCCUCACCUGGCAACCACUAAGCUGCUUUCUGUCACCAUGGAUUUGCCUUUUCUUGUCAUUGCCUAUAUAGACUCACACACUAAUGUGGCCUUUGUGCUCAGCUUCUUUCCCUUAGCGUGAUGUUGUCAGAGUUCAUCCUUGCCGCAGCAUGUAUCAGUACGUUCCUACCACACUUCGUUAAUCCAUUCAUCUGUUGACAAACAUUUGGAUUAUUUCUACUUUUUGGCUAUUAUUAAUAGCACUGCUAGGACUAUUUGCUUACAAGUUUUGUGAGAAUGUGCUUUCAAUUCUCAUAGGUGUAUACUGGGGUGGAAAUGCGGGGUCCUACGGUAACUCUGUGUUUAACUUUUUGAGGAACUGCCAGGCUGUUUUCCACAGUAGCUGUACCACUGUUAACAUUCCCACAGGUAAUAUAUGAAGUUUCCUUUCUUUCUUAACCCAAGCAGUCUGAGGGGCUGUUGAGAUAGUCUUAGGUGAACCUACCUUCAAAGAGAAAUGGAUGUUUGCACAGUGCUGGUGAGAAGACACCCGACCCUCAGCAUUGUGCUGGAUGAUCUGUCCAAACCAAAGACAGGAAAGGGGAACUUGCACUUUCUCACCCUCAUCAAUUCGGGGGUUAUGUUUGGUGUUUACGAGAUGGAGAACCAUUUAACAAAUGUUCUCUAUUGCAGAGGAUGUAGGCCUGCACUUAGUCUAUUCCUUAUAAGGCCCUGGGCCUCAGAGGACGGCUGUGGCAAAGACAGUACCCUUUACAGUGUGGAGGGUUGAGGAAUGUGGGAGAGCUUUUCCCUAGAACUGCCCUCUCUUAAUGUUCCCUUCAAAGUGUGCGAUGAUACAAAAUACCGAUGUGGUCAGCUAAUUUAUAAAAAAUAGGCUCAGUGCAUCCUGUUACAGAAAUCCCAUCAGCAGGCCAGGCACGACAGCUAGGAUUUCUCGUAAUCCUAGCACUUUGGGAGGCCAAGAUGUGAGAAUGCUUGAGCCCAGUUCAAAAUUAGCCCAGGCAGCAUAGUUAGACUCUGUAUCUACAAAAAAAUAAAUAAAAAUUAGCCCAGUAUGGUGGCACUUGUCUGUAGUCCCAGCUACUCAGGAAGCUGAGGAGAGAAGAGUGCUUGAGCCCAGGAGUUUAAGGUUGCAGUGAGCUAUGUCCAGUUAAUUACAUAAAAUAUUGUAACUCAUUAUUAUUAUUAGAAAAGCCAUCAUGAUGUUUUCUUUCACAUCCUAAUUUUUUAUAAUCUAAAUACUUUGCAUUUGAAUAUUUCCUUCCAUUUCAAGAUAUUUACAAUUUGUUUCAACAUCUAAGAAUGAUGAGAAAAGAACCAACAUUCCUGAAUCAUACGUGUAGAAAUGUAUGUGUCUUAGGAUUCUGAAAUUCUUUGAGGCAGGCCAUGUGGAUUUCAUGUGUCAACACUGCAUUGGAGGAGGGAGGAAGAUUGGUGAGCUCUCACCUAAUGAGCACAAGGGAAGAGUAUGGCACACUUUCUAGGUGAGGGAACCCAACUACAACGGGGACCUUACUUAACAAACACAACCAUUGUAACCUAAUCAUUUGUACCCUUAUGUUAAUCUGAAAUUUAAAAAAUAAAAAUAUUUGAAGUAUUUUUUAAAAACCAUUGCAUUGGAGGCUCUUACCAGAGCAAUUAGACGAAAAAAAGAAAGAAAAAACCCUAGCAUCUAUAUUAGAAGAGAGGUAAACUCAUCUCAAGAUGACAUUAUGUUGUAUGUAAAAAAUCCUAAAUAGGCUCAGCGCCCAGAGCUCAGCGGCUAGGGCGCCAGCCACAUACACUAGAGCUGGCACGUUCGAAUCUAGCAUGGGCCAAACAACAAUGACAACUACAAUAAAAAAAUAGCCAGGCAUUGUGGCAGGCACCUGUAGUCCCUGCUACUUGGGAGGCUGAAGCAAGAGAAUCGCUUGAGCCCAAGAGUUUUAGGUUGCUGUGAGCUGAUGCCUUGGCAUUCUACCAAGGGCGAUAGCUUGAGACUCUGUCUGGAAAAAAAGAAAGAAAGAAAAUCCUAAGUAAUCACUAAAAAACUAUUAAAUCAGUAAAUAAAUUUAGCAAGAUAAGAGAAUAUAAGAACUAUAUGCAAAAAAUCAGCUGUAUUAAAAAAAUCAAUUGUAUUUCUAUACAACAGCAAAUCAAUGACGUCAAAAGGACAUUUAAAAAAUAUAUUUAUUAAUUCAAAAAGAAUAAAAUACUUACAAAUAAAUUUUAUUUAAAUAGUGCCAAACUUGUAUUCUGAAGACUAGACAACAUCAUUGAAAAAAAUUAAAGAAGAGUUAAAUAAAUAUGAAGACAAGCCAUGUUUACAGACUGGAAGACUUAAUGUUGUUUAGAUGAAAUUGUCCCCAAAAUUAAUUUAUAGGUUCAGUGCAAUCCUACCAAAAACCUCAUCUCGAUUUUUUAGUGGAAGUUGACAAGUUAAUCAUAAAAUUUUAUAGAAAUGCAAGGGACCAAGAAGGUAAAACAAUUUUGAAAAAGGAAAACCCACGAAGGUGGAGGACUCACACUUUCCCAUUUCGAAGUUCACUAUACCACAAAGCUACAAAUACAAAGACAUUUUUCAUACUAGCACCAAUGUAGGCGGGUAGUUCAGUGGAACAGAACUGAGAGUUCAGAGAUAAAUCUUCAUAUUCGCAUUUGCUUGACUUUUGACAUGAGUCCCCAAACGAUUCAAUUUGAGAAAAGAAAUAUCUUCUCAAUAAAUGGUGCUGGAACAACUGGGUAUGCACAUUCAAAAUGCACCAUACAGGGCGGCACCUGUGGCUCAGUGAGUGGGGUGCCAGCCCCCUAUACCGAGGGUGGUGGGUUCGAACCCAGCCCUGGCCAAACUGCAACAACAAAACAAAAAGUGCACCCCAGAGAAGUUUGACUCAAAAUGGAUCAUGUAAGAGUUAAAACUAUAAAACUUGUAGGAGAAAAUAAAA
Molecule: long non-coding RNA, 3985 nt
Organism: Nycticebus coucang (slow loris)
Lineage: Eukaryota; Metazoa; Chordata; Mammalia; Primates; Lorisidae
Exons: 3
Source: RefSeq, a predicted model, not a curated record